RNAcentral lists this transfer RNA (76 nucleotides) under Staphylococcus aureus. Its description in RNAcentral is "tRNA-Asp". It matches the Rfam family "tRNA". From Rfam's summary of the family: Transfer RNA (tRNA) molecules are approximately 80 nucleotides in length. Their secondary structure includes four short double-helical elements and three loops (D, anti-codon, and T loops). The record is from RNAcentral. Lineage: Bacteria; Bacillati; Bacillota; Bacilli; Caryophanales; Staphylococcaceae.
GGUCUCGUACUGUAGCGGUUAACACGCCUGCCUGUCACGCAGGAGAUCGCGGGUUCGAUUCCCGUCGAGACCGCCA